RNAcentral lists this ribosomal RNA (420 nucleotides) under Pristimantis sp. Guiana ABGD cluster 263. RNAcentral describes it as "partial large subunit ribosomal RNA". It matches the Rfam family "Bacterial large subunit ribosomal RNA", at positions 1836 to 2439 of the family's 2925-position model. The record is from RNAcentral. Lineage: Eukaryota; Metazoa; Chordata; Amphibia; Anura; Strabomantidae.
CUUGUAAACAUAAGAGGUCCAGCCUGCCCAGUGAUUCAUUCAACGGCCGCGGUAUCCUAACCGUGCAAAGGUAGCGUAAUCACUUGUUUUCCAAAUAAAGACCAGUAUGAAAGGCAUCACGAGAACUAAACUGUCUCCUUUCUCUAAUCAGUGAACCUAAUCUCCCCGUGAAGAAGCGGGGAUCCUGCUAUAAGACGAGAAGACCCUGUGGAGCUUAAAACAUUACAACAAUGCCCCCUCCCCCUCCAACCACCCUGAUGGCCCUUCCACACCGGCACCCUGAUUACAUGUUUUUGGUUGGGGUGACCGCGGAGAAAAACCCAUCCUCCGUAAUGAAAGGGAUUUCCCCCCUAAGCAACAAGCUACAACUUUACACAUCAAAAAAUUGACAUCUUUGACCCAAUAAAUUGAUUGACGAAC